CUAAAAGCUCCGGGGGCCGACGGAUUUCAUGCUAGGUUUUUUCAGAGGAACUGGGAGUUAGUGCAAGAAGAUGUUAUACAAGCUGUGAAAGAAUUCUUUAAGUCAGGGAUUAUGCCACCAGGUACAAAUGAUACGGUUAUCUGUCUCAUCCCCAAGGGGAGUGACCCACAAGAUCUGAAGGAUUAUAGACCGAUCAGCCUAUGCAAUGUACUUUACAAGGUGGUGUCAAAAUGUCUGGUAAACAGACUAAGGCCUCUUUUGGAUGAGAUCAUCUCAGAGACGCAGAGCGCCUUCAUUCCCGGCAGGAUGAUUACUGAUAAUGCAACCAUUGCCUUCGAGUGCUUCCAUAAGAUUCAACAUAGCAAGAAUGGAUCGAAUACUCACUGUGCGUACAAACUGGAUCUUGCCAAAGCUUACGACAAAGUUGACUGGAGGUUUCUUGAGGGAGCAAUGCACAAACUGGGCUUCUGCCAAACAUGGAUUGGGUGGAUAAUGAGCUGUGUCAAAUCGGUGUCAUAUGCUGUCAAGUGGAAUGGCCAACUCCUUGAAUCCUUUAUUCCUACAAGAGGGCUUCGGCAGGGUGAUCCCCUAAGUCCAUAUUUGUUUCUGCUAGUAGCAGAUGGACUAGUUAGUGCCCUCCGUAAGGAGAUUGCAGCUAAAAGAAUAACCCCCAUAAAGGUGGCUAGGGGAAGCCCGGGGAUUUCCAACUUGUUGUUUGCUGAUGACAGUUUGCUAUUUUUUAAAGCUUCACAUGAGGAGGCUUUAGUGAUAAAGGAGGUCCUUGAAAAGUUCCAACGAGGCACGGGGCAGCUACUGAGUCAAGCGAAGUGUUCCUUACUGUUUAGUGAACACUGCCCAGUGCAUGUCCAGGAAAGUAUUAAGGAUACACUAGGGGUAGUGGCAUCAUCCUUUGAGAGCAAGUACCUGGGCCUCCCAACUCCGGAGGGUAGGAUGAAGGGUGAAAAGUUUCAACAUAUUAUGGAGAGGUUUGUGAAG
This 996-nucleotide ribosomal RNA is filed under the name Triticum aestivum (bread wheat). RNAcentral's name for it is "partial small subunit ribosomal RNA". The record is from RNAcentral. Lineage: Eukaryota; Viridiplantae; Streptophyta; Magnoliopsida; Poales; Poaceae.